AAAACGACUCUCGGCAACGGAUAUCUAGGCUCUCGCAUCGAUGAAGAACGUAGCGAAAUGCGAUACUUGGUGUGAAUUGCAGAAUCCCACGAAUCAUCGAGUUUUUGAACGCAAGUUGCGCCCGAAGCCUUUCGGCCGAGGGCACGUCUGCCUGGGUGUCACGC
Molecule: ribosomal RNA, 164 nt
Filed under: Quercus ithaburensis subsp. macrolepis
Lineage: Eukaryota; Viridiplantae; Streptophyta; Magnoliopsida; Fagales; Fagaceae
Description: 5.8S ribosomal RNA
Rfam family: 5.8S ribosomal RNA
About the family: 5.8S ribosomal RNA (5.8S rRNA) is a component of the large subunit of the eukaryotic ribosome. It is transcribed by RNA polymerase I as part of the 45S precursor that also contains 18S and 28S rRNA. Functionally, it is thought that 5.8S rRNA may be involved in ribosome translocation.
Source: RNAcentral